Molecule: long non-coding RNA, 340 nt
Filed under: Musa acuminata (dwarf banana)
Lineage: Eukaryota; Viridiplantae; Streptophyta; Magnoliopsida; Zingiberales; Musaceae
Description: long non-coding RNA (MACU_LNC009718)
Source: RNAcentral
GGAUAUUGUGAACCUUCGCUAGAAAUGGUGAAGGGAGUUAUACAUAGAGCCUGAGAUGCUCUGCCGGCCCUUAUGACUUCACUCAGACGUGGGUGGAUGGAGCUCCCAGACGUGGGAGACCUCCCAGACAUGGGAGACUUAUGUUUGGUGGUCAUUCAGAAAUGGAUGUACCAUAUUAUGUUAUGGUCCCACUUCACCUUCUGUAUGUUUGAUAUGAUAUCCAGAGCUUUGGUUAUGUGUUUCUGUACAUGCUUUGGAUAAGAAUGAUAUGAAUGCAACGUCAAAGACGACGUUUGAGCUUCUGUUUGGUAUUUGUUAUUGAUAUGCUCCGAAAUGUUCC